RNAcentral lists this ribosomal RNA (468 nucleotides) under uncultured bacterium. RNAcentral describes it as "partial 16S ribosomal RNA". It matches the Rfam family "Bacterial small subunit ribosomal RNA", at positions 28 to 507 of the family's 1533-position model. The record is from RNAcentral.
GACGAACGCUGGCGGCGUGCUUAACACAUGCAAGUCGAACGGAAAGGCCCUGCUUUUGUGGGGUGCUCGAGUGGCGAACGGGUGAGUAACACGUGAGUAACCUGCCCUUGACUUUGGGAUAACUUCAGGAAACUGGGGCUAAUACCGGAUAGGAGCUCCUGCUGCAUGGUGGGGGUUGGAAAGUUUCGGCGGUUGGGGAUGGACUCGCGGCUUAUCAGCUUGUUGGUGGGGUAGUGGCUUACCAAGGCUUUGACGGAUAGCCGGCCUGAGAGGGUGACCGGCCACAUUGGGACUGAGAUACGGCCCAGACUCCUACGGGAGGCAGCAGUGGAGAAUAUUGCACAGUGGGCGGAAGCCUGAUGCAGCAACGCCGCGCGCGGGAUGACGGCCUUCGGGUUGUAAACCGCUUUCGCCGGUGACGAAGCGUGAGUGACGGUAAUGGGUAAAGAAGCACCGGCUAACUACGUG